UUUCAUGAUUGUUUUCGUUUAAUUACUAGGAGGCCUACUAGUUUAUUAUUCGUUGCAAUCUAUUGCUAGGUUAGAUAUCAAAUCCGUAAUUGUUUGAUCCCUCUAAUCUGUGAAGCAACUAAGAUCUAAUAAUUUGCUGCGUCAGAAAUUUUCAGAUCUUAGGAAGAAUACUCGGCUAAAUCAAAUGCAACCGCUUGUGUUUGUGUUGUUUAGCUUCAUCGAUCUCUCUAAUU
This 233-nucleotide long non-coding RNA is filed under the name Phoenix dactylifera (date palm). RNAcentral describes it as "long non-coding RNA (PDAC_LNC005877)". Lineage: Eukaryota; Viridiplantae; Streptophyta; Magnoliopsida; Arecales; Arecaceae. The record is from RNAcentral.